UGAUUACGGUAAUAAUGGCGG
RNAcentral lists this non-coding RNA (21 nucleotides) under Arabidopsis thaliana (thale cress). The record is from RNAcentral. Lineage: Eukaryota; Viridiplantae; Streptophyta; Magnoliopsida; Brassicales; Brassicaceae.